CCACGAUUCACAUUGGAGAACAUGACAAACAAGACAAGUUCUGAAGCCAAGAAACUCGGAUUCCUUUUCAUUCCCAAACAGAACUAUGGUGGGUCGGGUUAUCUGAGGCAAAAUUCCUGACAGCGUCUGCUUUGGGCUCUGAGCUCCGGGCUCCCUGCAAUGACUUGAAUCUGGUGGGCCCGGAUGGAGGGUUUGACUGACUCUGAAAGCAUAACCUGGAACAAAACGAAGGGGGAGGCCCAGACUCCCACCCUGAUGCUCCCCCGUGAGGCACCUAGAAAUGAACACAGUAGCCAAAUGUGGUCUGAUCAAGGCAGCCAAGUCAUCAAGCACUUAUUAAGCACCUAACCUACAGAGUGCCAGAGUUGGAGGAACCAAAGCAACUGUUCCCUGCAUGGAGGUUUGACAGUGAUUGUGGCUGAUGAUCCUAGGGAUUUCUUUGACUGAGGGAAGAUUUGGAAAAGUAUGUUAUAUCUAAUUCAAUUCAAUGUGACUCAAGAUAACAAAUAUUCAAUAAGAAGCUACUAAAGUGUCAGGCUCUGUGCUAAAUACUCAUCAUACACAGAUAAGAAAUUACACAUUCUGUUUUCCAGAAACUUGCAAUCCAAUAAAGGAAGAGAAAAGAAUACA
This 630-nucleotide long non-coding RNA is filed under the name Monodelphis domestica (gray short-tailed opossum). RNAcentral describes it as "lncRNA (ENSMODG00000045079.1)". Lineage: Eukaryota; Metazoa; Chordata; Mammalia; Didelphimorphia; Didelphidae. The record is from RNAcentral.